GAGUUUGAUCGUGGCUCAGAACGAACGUUGGCGGCGUGCUUAACACAUGCAAGUCGAACGAGAACGGUUUCUUCGGAGACCUAGUAAAGUGGCGCACGGGUGAGUAACGCGUAAGUAAUCUACCUUUGCAUUUGGAAUAACUACGGGAAGCUGUAGCUAAUACCAAAUACGUUUAUAUAGUUACGACCACAUAAAGAAAGAUGGCCUCUUCUUGAAAGCUAUCGUGCAGAGAGGAGCUUGCGUACCAUUAGCUAGUUGGUAGGGUAAUGGCCUACCAAGGCAACGAUGGUUAGCGGGUCUGAGAGGAUGAUCCGCCACACUGGAACUGGAACACGGACCAGACUCCUACGGGAGGCAGCAGGUGAGGAAUAUUGCGGCAAUGGGGGAAACCCUGACGCAGCGACGCCGCGUGGAUGAUGAA
This 421-nucleotide ribosomal RNA is filed under the name uncultured microorganism. RNAcentral describes it as "bacterial SSU rRNA". It matches the Rfam family "Bacterial small subunit ribosomal RNA", at positions 9 to 412 of the family's 1533-position model. The record is from RNAcentral.